GGAGGGAUUGAGAGAGUUGCAGAGGAAGAGAGAUAGGUUCAUGCAGAGCUUGAUAGAAGAGCAUAGAACAAGAAUUGCCAAGGACAAGGAGUCAUCUUCAUCAUGCUGUAAUGGCGACGAUGGAGAGAAGAAGAAGAAGAAGAAGAAGAAGAAGAAGAAGACGAUGAUUGAAGUGAUGCUGUCGCUACAAGAGAAGGAACCUGAUUACUAUACGGACCUGAUCAUCAGAGGCCUCAUGCUGGUAGCGAAUUUAUAUAUGCUUUUGUUCCCA
This 271-nucleotide long non-coding RNA is filed under the name Vitis vinifera (wine grape). RNAcentral's name for it is "long non-coding RNA (VVIN_LNC002812)". Lineage: Eukaryota; Viridiplantae; Streptophyta; Magnoliopsida; Vitales; Vitaceae. The record is from RNAcentral.